UGCGUAGGCGGCUAUUUAAGUAGGGUGUGAAAUCCCCCGGCUCAACCGGGGAACUGCGCUCUAAACUGGAUGGCUUGAGUGAGAUAGGGGUGUGUGGAACUUCCGGUGGAGCGGUGAAAUGUGUUGAUAUCGGAAGGAACGCCGGUGGCGAAAGCGACACACUGGGUCUCAACUGACGCUGAGGCACGAAAGCCAGGGGAGCGAACG
This 207-nucleotide ribosomal RNA is filed under the name uncultured bacterium. RNAcentral describes it as "partial 16S ribosomal RNA". It matches the Rfam family "Bacterial small subunit ribosomal RNA", at positions 568 to 774 of the family's 1533-position model. The record is from RNAcentral.